Molecule: ribosomal RNA, 497 nt
Filed under: uncultured bacterium
Lineage: Bacteria
Description: partial 16S ribosomal RNA
Rfam family: Bacterial small subunit ribosomal RNA
Source: RNAcentral
GAUGAACGCUGGCGGCGUGCCUAAUACAUGCAAGUCGAGCGAACAGAUAAGGAGCUUGCUCCUUGGACGUUAGCGGCGGACGGGUGAGUAACACGUGUGUAACCUACCUAUAAGACUGGGAUAACUUCGGGAAACCGGAGCUAAUACCGGAUAACAUUUGGAACCGCAUGGUUCUAAAGUGAAAGACGGCUUUGCUAUCACUUAUAGAUGGACCCGCGCCGUAUUAGCUAGUUGGUAAGGUAACGGCUUACCAAGGCGACGAUACGUAGCCGACCUGAGAGGGGGAUCGGCCACACUGGAACUGGAACACGGUCCAGACUCCUACGGGAGGCAGCAGUAGGGAAUCUUCCGCAGUAGGCGAAAGCCUGACGGAGCAACGCCGCGUGAGUGAUAGGGGGUUUCGGCUCGUAAAACUCUGUUAUUAGGGAAGAACAAAUGUGUAAGUAACUGUGCACGUCUUGACGGUAACUAAUCAGAAAGCCACGGCUAACUACGUG